Molecule: ribosomal RNA, 2012 nt
Filed under: Ctenocephalides felis (cat flea)
Lineage: Eukaryota; Metazoa; Arthropoda; Insecta; Siphonaptera; Pulicidae
Description: eukaryotic LSU rRNA
Rfam family: Eukaryotic large subunit ribosomal RNA
Source: RNAcentral
UAGGGAGGAUCCGAUUAUCUCGGUGCGUUGCGGCGAGUUCAAGUCCAUCUUGAAUGGGGCCAUUUACCCAUAGAGGGUGCCAGGCCUGUAGCGACCGUUGCGCGUAUCGAGAGGAUCUCUCCUCAGAGUCGAGUUGCUUGAGAGUGCAGCUCUAAGUGGGUGGUAAACUCUAUCUUCCAUUUAGUGGCGUGCGAUUGACCGGGAUUCGUCCCGCGAUACGCCGUCGAUUUAUGUGUCAGGCGGCGUUGGCAUGCACUUCUCUCUCAGUAGGACGUCGCGACCCGUUUGGUGUCGAUCUACGACCGCGGCGGUAGCCUGUCACGAAUUUAUUCGCGCCAGACCCCGCGUGCUCCGGCCGACUGCCAGACGGUAUAAAUGAUAUGGUAUAGGGUCGCUUUUAAGCGUUCGGCCGGUUGCAAGCACGGACGGUUAUUGGCCGUCGGACCUAGUCCGGCAUCGAUGCCGCCUCGAGCUGUUAGCUACCGUGUUCUCGAACGGACUCUAUUACCGGUCAGCGAUGCUAUUGCUUUGGGUACUUUCAGGACCCGUCUUGAAACACGGACCAAGGAGUCUAGCAUGUGCGCGAGUCAUUGGGAAAUACAAAACCUAAAGGCGCAAUGAACGUAAAUGUUUGCUUAAGUAAACUGAGGGAUGACGGACCGCAUCUACGGAUGCGUGCCUGCAAUCCCGAGGCGUCUCACUCUCAUUGCGAAAAGAGGCGCACUCAGAGCGUACACGCUAGGACCCGAAAGAUGGUGAACUAUGCCCGGUCAGGUCGAAGUUAGGGGAAACCCUGAUGGAGGACCGUAGCGAUUCUGACGUGCAAAUCGAUCGUCGGAACUGGGUAUAGGGGCAAAAGACUAAUCGAACCAUCUAGUAGCUGGUUUCCUCCGAAGUUUCCCUCAGGGUAGCUGGCAUUCGAUGAGCGAGUCUCAUCCGGUAAAGCUAAUGAUUAGAGGCCUUGGGGCCGAAACGACCUCAACCUAUUCUCAAACUUUAAAUGGGUGAGAUCUCUGGCUUGCUUGAAUAGUGAAGCCAGAAUUUUGGAUCAGAGUGCCUAGUGGGCCAUUUUUGGUAAGCAGAACUGGCGCUGUGGGAUGAACCAAACGCCGAGUUAAGGCGCCUAAACGACGCUAAUGGGAUACCAUGAAAGGCGUUGGUUGCUUAAGACAGCAGGACGGUGGCCAUGGAAGUUGGAAUCCGCUAAGGAGUGUGUAACAACUCACCUGCCGAAGCAACUAGCCCUGAAAAUGGAUGGCGCUGAAGCGUCGUGCCUAUACUCGGCCGCCAAGGCAUGAGAAACGUUCAUAAUAGUUCGUUUUGACGCCCUGGUGAGUAGGAGGGUCGCGGUGGUGUGCGCAGAAGGGUUUGGGCGUAAGCCUGCCUGGAGCCGCCAUCGGUGCAGAUCUUGGUGGUAGUAGCAAAUACUCCAGCGAGGCCCUAGAGGACUGACGUGGAGAAGGGUUUCGUGUGAACAGCCGUUGCACACGAGUCAGUCGAUCCUAAGCCCCAGGAGAAAUCCUAUGUUGAUGUCGGUGUAUUUUAUUUUGAAUAAAAUUUCACACCCAUCGGGCGAAAGGGAUCCGGUUCCUAUUCCGGAACCCGGCAGCGGAACCGUUUACAAGUCGGGCUCUCGCAAGAGAGUUCGUCGGGGUAACCCAAAAUGACCUGGAGACGCCGUCGGGAAAUACGGGAAGAGUUUUCUUUUCUGUAUGAGCGUUCGAGUUCCCUGGAAUCCUCUAGAAGGGAGAUAGGGUUUGGAACGCGAAGAGCACCGCUGUUGCAGCGGUGUCCGUAUCUUCCCUUCGGACCUUGAAAAUCUAGGAGAGGGCCACGGUAGGUGUCGCGCCGGUUCGUACCCAUAUCCGCAGCAGGUCUCCAAGGUGAAGAGCCUCUAGUCGAUAGAUAAAUGUAGGUAAGGGAAGUCGGCAAAUUGAAUCCGUAACUUCGGGAUAAGGAUUGGCUCUGAGGAUCGAGGCGUGCCGGGCUUGGUUGGGAAGCGGGCGUAGGCC